GCAAACUUGGUCAUUUAGAGGAAGUAAAAGUCGUAACAAGGUUUCCGUAGGUGAACCUGCGGAAGGAUCAUUACAAAUAAGAAUCGCAUCACAAUGUGGUAUUCUUUCGACACCCUCCGAGUACUUGUAUUUCGUUGCUUUCGUGGGCAAGUGGGCGAUCACGCGCGCGUGCUCUUCCUCGAGUCCACGGGAGGUGAACCUCAAUCACGUCUUCAUGUGCCCUCCGUCUGAUUAUGUUAGUACAAGAAUGAUCGUUAAAACUUUCAACAACGGAUCUCUUGGUUCUCGCAUCGAUGAAGAACGCAGC
RNAcentral lists this unclassified non-coding RNA (307 nucleotides) under uncultured fungus. RNAcentral describes it as "partial contains small subunit ribosomal RNA, internal transcribed spacer 1, and 5.8S ribosomal RNA". The stretch from base 1 to 73 matches the Rfam family "Eukaryotic small subunit ribosomal RNA", at positions 1759 to 1831 of the family's 1831-position model. The record is from RNAcentral. Lineage: Eukaryota; Fungi.